This 770-nucleotide long non-coding RNA is filed under the name Phasianus colchicus (ring-necked pheasant). Its description in RNAcentral is "lncRNA (ENSPCLG00000006291.1)". Lineage: Eukaryota; Metazoa; Chordata; Aves; Galliformes; Phasianidae. The record is from RNAcentral.
CAAUAUUUCCCUGCAGUCUUUGCAACCCCUGAAUUGUAGCAUGUUGUUUGUGCAGAAGAAGCUGAAAGUGAAACUGUCUGAAAAUGAGAGUGAAGAAAACUGGCCUGCUUCUAUAAUUUCAGCAGAAAGCACCUCAGGUAAACAAAAUGGCACACUUGUGCAAUCAGCGAUGAAGAAUUCUCCCUAUAUAAAUGGCUGAAGUGAAACAAGUGGAGAGAGAUUGGUGGUAACCCAGCAGUCAAGUCCGUGAGAGUGAGCCUAUGAGAGCCUGAGCAAUGCAGGAACAGAAAUCAAAUCAUUGCCACAUAGAGUGAACAAGAGCACUUGAAUUCUGGGACUUCAGUAAGCAAGAAAAACAAAAUUGUUUCACAUGAGUUCCUCAAGGAUUCACAAGGUCCUGUGAUCUUUCAUAUUCACAUCAUCCAGUAUGGAAGAAAUUAGCCCACAUUUACAAGAAACAUGUAUCAUCAUACAUGGAUCACACCCAAAUCUGUGGGAUUCUGAGAAACCACUGUUUCAGCAGACAGGAAUUUCUGGCUGCAAUCCAACAGGAAGGAUUGAAAGUCAACAGACAAAAAGUUCAAUUAGUACAACAAGAGAGAUUGGUUUCUUCUGCCACGAACUAGAAUCCCCUGAGAAAAAGCAAGCUAAAAAAGUCUUUCAGCAGCCUUUUCUGUUUUGCCCUCCUGGUGCAGGUUGAAAGUAAGAAGAAAAGGGGAAAAAGAUUUUAAAAAGAAAUAAAAAAAAAAAAAAAAAAAGGAAAGUUUUCA